This 191-nucleotide small nuclear RNA is filed under the name Dasypus novemcinctus (nine-banded armadillo). RNAcentral's name for it is "U2 spliceosomal RNA (ENSDNOG00000038943.1)". It matches the Rfam family "U2 spliceosomal RNA". Rfam says of the family: U2 is a small nuclear RNA (snRNA) component of the spliceosome (involved in pre-mRNA splicing). Complementary binding between U2 snRNA (in an area lying towards the 5' end but 3' to hairpin I) and the branchpoint sequence (BPS) of the intron results the bulging out of an unpaired adenosine, on the BPS, which initiates a nucleophilic attack at the intronic 5' splice site, thus starting the first of two transesterification reactions that mediate splicing. The record is from RNAcentral. Lineage: Eukaryota; Metazoa; Chordata; Mammalia; Cingulata; Dasypodidae.
AUCACUUCAAGGCCUUUUGGCUAAGAUCAAGUGUAGCAUUUGUUCUUAUUGGUUUAAUAUCUGAUAGGCCCUCUAUCUGAGGACAAUAUAUUAAAUAGAUUUUUGAAGCAGGGAGAUGGUUUAGGACUUUGCUCCGUCCACUGCAUGCAUCGACCUGGUAUUGCAGUACUUCCAGGAAUGGUGUAGAAAAA